RNAcentral lists this ribosomal RNA (253 nucleotides) under uncultured bacterium. RNAcentral describes it as "partial 16S ribosomal RNA". It matches the Rfam family "Bacterial small subunit ribosomal RNA", at positions 524 to 776 of the family's 1533-position model. The record is from RNAcentral.
UACGAAGGGGGCUAGCGUUGUUCGGAAUUACUGGGCGUAAAGCGCGCGUAGGCGGCCCUGCAAGUCGGGGGUGAAAGCCCGAGGCUCAACCUCGGAACUGCCUUCGAUACUGCGGGUCUCGAGUCCGGGAGAGGUGAGUGGAAUUCCUAGUGUAGAGGUGAAAUUCGUAGAUAUUAGGAAGAACACCAGUGGCGAAGGCGGCUCACGGGCCCGGUACUGACGCUGAGGCACGAAGGUCAGGGGAGCAAACGGG